Molecule: non-coding RNA, 1090 nt
Organism: Styela clava
Lineage: Eukaryota; Metazoa; Chordata; Ascidiacea; Stolidobranchia; Styelidae
Source: RefSeq, a predicted model, not a curated record
ACAACACAACACCAAGUACAUAUGAAUGAAAUCAUAAUUUAAAUGGGCGAAGUAUAAAAGACGGCAUACCGCGAAUGAAAAAUGACAUUUUUAAGAAAUAUUGGACGCUGAAGAAUAAUUGCUUGUCCCGGGAUAUAGUUGCAGUCGGACUCAAUGUACGGAGGAGACGACAAAUCUUCAUCACACAGCCAUCCCACAUUUAUCAAAACAAUGUAACUGAAAGUAUACAUCUAUGAAAAAAAACGAAACAUAUCUGAAGAAAACUAAACCGUGGUGACUGAAGAAACUAAUAAUUUUGUGUCAACUAUUUUUGCGCACAUUGUUCAGUUCAUAUAUUGCAACGUAACUUGAUGGAGAAGAGAUCGAAGUUUUACAUAGUCCCCAAGAUCCUCUUUAAAAUCGACUGGCAAUCUAUACGAGAUUUACUUUGGUAUUUUGCCUAACUGUUCUAAUCUUGUGGAAUCCUAAUCUUGUGGAAUCAUGGCACCUAAUAAAACGCCUCUCAAAACUUUUAUGAUAUACUUCUGAGACUUUUUGCUUACGAGUUUGAUCGGCACAAAAUCACAAAAUCACGUUAUCACAACACUGAAUCACAAGGCCAAGGGUUCUCAAAGAUUUCGAUGCCGAAUGACUAUAAAUUUUAAGCGUUCAGACAAUUAAGUCUGCGCAAAAUGAAUACAAUUUACACAACGAAAUAUUUUUUUUCUCGUAAUUUCUGGAAAUAGGCCACCCUAAAUUAUUCGACGCGGCUUAAUCUUGACGACGCCACUCCAGUAUCGUGAUAUGAUAUACUAAAUCGUAAAAUUUUGAUUAGAGGUCAGUGUACCAUGAUUAAUAUGUUGUCAAGAAUUCUAUCAUCAACCCUGAAAAAAAACUACGAUAAUAAUUAUGCAAAGCAAUUCUCGUCAAUUCAAUGGUAAUACAGCCAAAUUUCAUUUCAAACGCAUUUAAUUUCACCGGAGAUUCAUUUUAAAAAAGUUACUCUACCUAAAGACUCUCAUUUUCCAAUAUAUUUUAAUAAUGAAUUUAUAAGUGUGUUCACUGUUUCACUGUUUAUAUCAAAUUUUUGCCAAAAUUCGUUUCGAAAUGU